GAUGUCUUCUCUUGUUUUGAGCUGAUUAAUCGCACCAUGGUCAGAAAUCUACUCGACAGGAAGCUAAAGGGAAAACUGGUCGCAGACCUUUCUCAUCUUGCCCAUUCGUACGUUUCUUCACACCAACCUUCUGCAGCGGACUUAAAGAAAUGUAGGAUACUAAAGGAUUUGAGGAAGAACAAGGACAUUGUAAUACUGAAGCCUGACAAAGGAAAUGGCUUAGUUGUCAUGGACAGGAAAGCCUACGAACAGGGUAUUUUUUCCAUUAUCAGUGACACUUCUAAGUUUAAGGUUAAUGAUAACGAUCCUACAAUACAAAGGGAGGGUAAGUUACAACGUUUUUUAAGAGCGCUUACAUAUCUACUUAUCAGCUACCAUUUUAUGAUGACCAAAAGAAAAACAUUUUUCAAAACAUUGUUUACACAACACCCGACAUCCCAAUUGGCUGGGGAUUGAGGCCUAUGAUUGUCUUUUAAAGGUCAGUAAACUAACCACAAAAUUGCGUGAUUGAAGUAAAUAAAUCUCCUUGCAGACUAAAGAGGAUCUCCAAGAUUAAUUGAACAUUAUUUCACAUUCACAGUAAAAUAAUUGUUCAUCGAAGAUCAUGGAUCACAAUUAUUUGCGAUAAAUUAAAAGGACCCAAUGUGCUUCGCGCAGAAAUUAGUUGUAACCCUCUUCCUAGAGCGUUUCUAAAUAAGUAUUUUUGGCAAGUACCACAGAUCGAUUUUCAUCAAGGAAAUGGUGCUCUUCACGUCGUAUCUCAAUCUUAACGAAACAAUUUUUUACUUCUGCACAAGCAGCUUCUCCGAAAAUGCCCAGCUUGGUGUUUACAAUUACCAUUUGCAUCCGUUCUUCAGCGGAAAAGAACCCUUAGCAUUUACAUGUGGUUCAUCGGCGCCAAAUGCGACAGCAGAGAAUGAGAAUAAUUAACUUUCUGGAUUUUCGUCUAUGAGAUCAGAUGAUGCAAAUAACUUAACAUGAUUGCUGUAAGUGUGGUAUUCUCUUAAAAAUGAAACAAAGUAUAUUCAAAACUAUGCCUCCAUACAGCUACUCAUAAGAAUGAUUUAUCUUAGCGCUUUACGGAGAGAACAAAGACGAGUUUGAAAGGAUUAUUUGUACUAUCACCACUGCCGUACCUCUAAUUUUAAUCUAAUAAUUAGAUUAAAUUAAUUAGAUUAAUUUGUAAUUUGUCAUUUCCUAUUAAGCUUUCUUCUUAUUAAGCUUCAAUAAAACUUCGUAUAGUUAAGCCAAUCUGUAAAUAAAAAAAUUACUGAAACAAAGAAAACUAAUGCAAUUGAUUAUUAUUGUUUUUUUUGUUGUUGUUAUUUUAAAAUGGUUUCCAUAUUUCAUUUACUAGUUUAAAUUUCAUUUCAUCCAGUUAGUAUUUUUUCAUCUUCUUUUUCAUUAUUUUAUUUGCUUUUCAUAAUCUCUCUUUUAGGGUGUUUCAGGAUGAUGUUCUACCAAACCACAUGUUCAGGUGUUUCUUGUCUUUCUGAAAAAUAUUAAAGGAGACAUUUUUAAGAUCAGAGGGUCAUGUGACCUGACAUUUCCCACGUUUGCCAGCUGCUGUUUCUACUCAAGGACAUUUUUCCCGUUUGUAGGGAACAC
Stylophora pistillata is the source of this 1608-nucleotide long non-coding RNA. The record is from RefSeq and is a predicted model, not a curated record. Lineage: Eukaryota; Metazoa; Cnidaria; Anthozoa; Scleractinia; Pocilloporidae.